This 230-nucleotide ribosomal RNA is filed under the name uncultured bacterium. Its description in RNAcentral is "partial 16S ribosomal RNA". It matches the Rfam family "Bacterial small subunit ribosomal RNA", at positions 121 to 334 of the family's 1533-position model. The record is from RNAcentral.
CAAACCUGCCUUAAGGAUGGGGAUAACAGACGGAAACGACUGCUAAUACCGAAUACGUUCUAAGCAUCGCAUGAUGCAUAGAAGAAAGGGUGGCCUCUACAAGAAAGCUAUCGCCUUAAGAGGGGUUUGCGACUGAUUAGGUAGUUGGUGAGGUAACGGCUCACCAAGCCGACGAUCAGUAGCCGGUCUGAGAGGAUGAACGGCCACACUGGAACUGAGACACGGUCCAG